UGGAGUCAGUUUGGUUAUGGCCAAAUGUAACAUAGACCUCUGAGCUAUUAUCAGGAUAAAAAAAAAUUUGAAAACAAAAACUGCAUGAGCAUUAAUAGCGAAAGUACAUUUUUGUACACUCAAAUCAGCCUGGCAACACUGUCAUUAGAAAUUGGUAGUCCCUGAACAAAAGCUAGUUGGAGUUGCUAAUCCUGACAAUGACAAUGAAAAACUGAUCAUUUACUUGCUUAUCCCUCCCACCCAAAAUAGAAAACUACUGGCUGCUUUAAAUGACAUUUCAUCAGAUUGGGCAAAAUCCUGCCAAUCUUCAUCAGGUCAGAGCUUGCAAGGCCUCCAUGUGAAGAGUUAAAUGGGAAACUUAUGCUCGAGAGCUUGCACUAUCAAUAUCUGAGUCCUUAAUCUAGUGAAACACCCAUUGACUUCAAUGAGCAUUUUACCUGAGUCAGACUGAUGGAUUGGGCCCAUGUAUUUUGGCCUAGAACUCUAACUGCAAUAAACCAAACGUACAGAAUGAAAACGUCAUUUUUAUAUAUUGUUGGGCUAGACACGAUAAAUUGAUCCCUGAAAGUGCUCCCGUCAAUUCUGGAACUCCACCAGGGCAAGAGGCGGAAGCAGAGUCGACGGGGGACCCGCGGCCAUCAAUCCCAUGCCAUGAGGAUGAGAGGAGCCUUAGGCGUGUCAAUCCAUAUUGUGUCUCUCUGUUAAGCCCUGAGCUCUCCUUCUCUCCAUCCUGAGCAGCAGAGCUGUAGUAUUUCCACUGCAUUUCAGGCCGUGGAUACUCACAGAUUGGAGUGGAGAAUUUUGUCCUAAAUAUGUACCAUAUAAAGUUUCACUCGACUGCCCCUCAAAAUCCCUCUGGAUUGGGAGAAGCAAGGAUCCCUGAAUAGCCUGCUAUGGUGGAAAAGGCCAUCUGAUGCCCCUUCAAGACCAGAAAGGGAGCCACCAGGAAGCAGGAGUGGUAGAAAUGCCUCACUCCCAUGGAUGACAAAG
This is a long non-coding RNA of Gopherus flavomarginatus (Mexican gopher tortoise), 990 nucleotides long. RefSeq lists it as uncharacterized. The transcript has 3 exons. NCBI's taxonomy places the organism in Eukaryota, Metazoa, Chordata, Testudines, Testudinidae. The record is from RefSeq and is a predicted model, not a curated record.